Molecule: ribosomal RNA, 252 nt
Filed under: uncultured Bacteroidales bacterium
Lineage: Bacteria; Pseudomonadati; Bacteroidota; Bacteroidia; Bacteroidales
Description: partial 16S ribosomal RNA
Rfam family: Bacterial small subunit ribosomal RNA
Source: RNAcentral
UACGUAGGGGGCAAGCGUUAUCCGGAUUUACUGGGUGUAAAGGGAGCGUAGACGGGUUAUCAAGUCAGCGGUAAAAUCGUGGAGCUCAACUCCAUCCAGCCGUUGAAACUGAUGAUCUUGAGUGGGCGAGAAGUAUGCGGAAUGCGUGGUGUAGCGGUGAAAUGCAUAGAUAUCACGCAGAACUCCGAUUGCGAAGGCAGCCUGCUGGACUGUAACUGACGCUGAUGCUCGAAAGUGUGGGUAUCAAACAGG